Long non-coding RNA from Pectinophora gossypiella (pink bollworm), 950 nucleotides. RefSeq lists it as uncharacterized. NCBI's taxonomy places the organism in Eukaryota, Metazoa, Arthropoda, Insecta, Lepidoptera, Gelechiidae. The transcript has 2 exons. The record is from RefSeq and is a predicted model, not a curated record.
UGAGGUGGCAGCGGCGGGUGGCGGGAGGGCGGAGUGCCACCGACCUGCGGCGAACGAGUACGUGAUAUCGGCGCUCGUGCCCCACAACAAACUGCUUACUGGACGUGUUACGUAGGCGUCUGAGCUGCGAUGUACCAACAUAAACACAGAUAGGGGGAUCAGUGAAGCACGGGCGACCGGGGCAGGCGGCGCAGUGGGUCAGGCGAGGCAGUACGGGCGGACCUUGCAAUGUCGCGGCGUGACGCUCAGCUGACGGGCCGCCGCCGCCGCCGUCGCGCCGCGCCACGCCGCCCCGUUCAUUGCCUCCGCGGCGGCUGGCGCGAGCGGACGUCUAAUAUGCUACAUCAUGUGAUUUCAUAAUUUUCAUGUUAACGAAAAUCUUUGAAACAACAACAAAUGGAGCGGAUCGUAGUUAAUUGUGUUAAUAUUGUGAAAACUUAGGAGGAAAUGAUGUGUGUGCGACGUGCGUAGAUAAAAUUAGUUAUGCUGGAGUGCGGUGACGACCGGUGCGAAAGGUCGGGCUGUGUAAAAAUAACUGCGGAACCGGGCGGCAAAGCGGUGGAAUGAGGUUUGACGGCACAUUGUAGCUGAGGCGGGGCGAGGCCGUGUGCGCCAUGUUAUAAUUUCCCUUCGCGUCGAAUGUGCAAACCGACUGACUGAACACUGCGGUGUGCCUACUUCUCUUUCUCUCAGUGCGGAAUAAGCAUGCCUGCUGUGUGAGAGACAAGUCGUCCACCUCUACAGCCAACGUGUACGUCUAACAAACUAUGUACCUACCUAUAAUAUAACAUGUAGCAGGUACUUCUCUACGAAGUGCUUCUGCAUUUUAGUGCAAUGCUGAUUUCUUGGGCCGCUCUCAUGCCAACAACAGAGCAACAAGCCAAUGUUUUAAAUAAUUACUACUACAUUUACAAAUAUUAAUAUAACGAAUACACUUACUUAUAAAUACA